GUGCCAGCAGCCGCGGUAAUACGUAGGGGGCAAGCGUUAUCCGGAUUUACUGGGUGUAAAGGGUGCGUAGGUGGUAAUGCAAGUCAGAUGUGAAAACUCAGGGCUCAACCUUGAGGCUGCAUCUGAAACUGCGUAACUAGAGUGCAGGAGAGGAAAGUGGAAUUCCGAGUGUAGCGGUGAAAUGCGUAGAGAUUCGGAGGAACACCAGUAGCGAAGGCGACUUUCUGGACUGUAACUGACACUGAGGCACGAAAGCGUGGGGAGCGAACAGGAUUAGAAACCCGCGUAGUCC
This 292-nucleotide ribosomal RNA is filed under the name uncultured bacterium. RNAcentral's name for it is "partial 16S ribosomal RNA". It matches the Rfam family "Bacterial small subunit ribosomal RNA", at positions 505 to 796 of the family's 1533-position model. The record is from RNAcentral.